This 26-nucleotide non-coding RNA is filed under the name Mus musculus (house mouse). The record is from RNAcentral. Lineage: Eukaryota; Metazoa; Chordata; Mammalia; Rodentia; Muridae.
UCUGUCCUACUCUUGCCCUACACAGG